Molecule: ribosomal RNA, 243 nt
Filed under: uncultured Actinomycetales bacterium
Lineage: Bacteria; Bacillati; Actinomycetota; Actinomycetes; Actinomycetales
Description: partial 16S ribosomal RNA
Rfam family: Bacterial small subunit ribosomal RNA
Source: RNAcentral
UACUCGAGUGGCGAACGGGUGAGUAACACGUGGGUGAUCUGCCCUGCACUUCGGGAUAAGCCUGGGAAACUGGGUCUAAUACCGGAUAGGAGCCAUUUUUAGUGUGAUUGUUGGAAAGUUUUUUCGGUGUAGGAUGAGCUCGCGGCCUAUCAGCUUGUUGGUGGGGUAAUGGCCUACCAAGGCGGCGACGGGUAGCCGGCCUGAGAGGGUGGACGGCCACAUUGGGACUGAGAUACGGCCCAG